CCUACGGGAGGCAGCAGUAGGGAAUCUUCCACAAUGGACGAAAGUCUGAUGGAGCAACGCCGCGUGAGUGAAGAAGGGCUUCGGCUCGUAAAGCUCUGUUGGUAGUCAAGAAAGAUAGAGGUAGUAACUGCCUUUUUUUUGAUGGUAAUUACUUAGAAAGUCACGGCUAACUACGUGCCAGCAGCCGCGGUAAUACGUAGGUGGCAAGCGUUGUCCGGAAUUAUUGGGCGUAAAGCGAGCGCAGGCG
RNAcentral lists this ribosomal RNA (247 nucleotides) under uncultured bacterium. RNAcentral's name for it is "partial 16S ribosomal RNA". It matches the Rfam family "Bacterial small subunit ribosomal RNA", at positions 338 to 577 of the family's 1533-position model. The record is from RNAcentral.